Alligator sinensis (Chinese alligator) is the source of this 158-nucleotide long non-coding RNA. RefSeq lists it as uncharacterized. The transcript has 3 exons. The record is from RefSeq and is a predicted model, not a curated record. NCBI's taxonomy places the organism in Eukaryota, Metazoa, Chordata, Crocodylia, Alligatoridae.
AGGAGAAAUCAUAGCUACCGCAGCAAGCAACUGGGGAAUAAAAUGACCUGCAGUGCAAGACUAAGAUUAUCCUUAUAAAAUUUUUUCUCCCCAGAAGCAAAUUUUAGUUCUGAAGAUCUGUAAGACUUCUGGCAUGCAUUCUAAAUGCUUCAACACUC